Nematostella vectensis (starlet sea anemone) is the source of this 1799-nucleotide RNA transcript. It is a transcript of the gene named lamin-L(III), with no coding region annotated. The record is from RefSeq and is a predicted model, not a curated record. The transcript is spliced from 4 exons. NCBI's taxonomy places the organism in Eukaryota, Metazoa, Cnidaria, Anthozoa, Actiniaria, Edwardsiidae.
UAGCUGGGAUGAUUCGAUGGUGUGAUUUCUUUUACGUAUGGAAAGACGAGACUUAUAGGAUUAGCAAGAUACUGUGAACUCGAUUUGAUAAAAGAAAGGUAACAUCUUAUUAUACAUCGCAUUCAAAAUAUUGUUGCCACCCGAAGAAGCUUUAUAUGAUAGCUUGAUAUUAACUACUUGGAAAUGGCGAAAAGUCGAGAGACAGUGGAUUUGAAGGGAAAACUUUCUCGGAAAAUAGCAGAGCUAACCAUGGUUGUGCAUUUGCUUUUUACGAGAAACCACGAAAGGGAAGUCGAAAUUGACGCAAUAAGAACUGUUUACGAUCAACAAAUUAAAAACAUUGAGAGCGAGGUCAAGGGUAAAAUAUCUUGGUUGGAAGGACAAUUAGAAGAUUUAGAGAAAGGUAAAGUAUUGCUGGAAAUUAAAAAUAAUGAAAUUGAGAAAUACAAACAACAAAUAACUGGACUGAAUGAGAAGGAAGUCGAAUUGAGAAAAACAAUUGAACAAAAAGAGCAUCUACUUCAGAUGGCUGAAAAAGAGAUUGUGAAACUAAGGGAACAGCUCACAAGCAAAGCUGACUAUGGGAAUAUCCAUGCUGAAGAAUUGCAGAGAAUUAGAAAUGAACUUGAGAAAUGUAAAAACGAAAUUUCAGACUUGAAUAGUAAACUCAAUACAAAAUCUCAAAAACUCAAGACUUACAAAAAGCAUAUAGGUGAACUACAAGAGCGUGAAAAAGACCUUGACAGACAGCUCCAAGAGGCUCUAGCGGCUAAAAAUAGAAUAAAUAUGCAAUUGGACGGUUUAGAGGGUGACUGGCAAGGUGAAAUGGACCGGCUUAAUGAUAGUAUUAUUCAAAUGACAGAGGCCCAGACUCAAAAUGAGGAUAAAAUCAACAAACUCGAAAUGAAAAACAAACAACUCUCACAGCAGAAUAAAGAACUUGAGGAUACUAAACGACAGUUGUCGCACCAGAUACAACAACUUAUAAAUGAGAAAAAUAAAAGGAAGGAAUCAAAAUUUGUCAAACCAAAGCAGCAAACUCCAGAGGUGCCAAGAUCAACUCCGGCAUAUGAGGGACGGGAUGUACUGUCCGUCUGCUUGACUUUGCUGACGCGACAAAUCCAAUUCAGCUUGAGCGUGAUGAUGAGCUCGAAAGAUUGCGCAGGGAGGUGCAGCGGUACAGGCUAGAAAUCAAGAAUCGGGAGUCGAACUUCAACCGAGUGUUUGCCGAGAAGAACCCGGUGGUUGUCGGCCAUAAACAGAGCUCUACCGCGAGUUUGUCACCUGAUGGGAUGUUCCCAAAUCUGACCGGAUCCCGCAGUAGAUCAUCAGCCAAUGGGCAAAUCUCCCCGUCAUAUCUACCAUCAUUGAAAUAAUUCAGAAAAAAAACAUUUACUUCUGAGGAUAGUGUCAAGUAUCGGUCGCUUUGUCAGAUUUUCUGGCAUCUACAUCGUAGACCCUACCCUUGAAAUAUUCGAGUUGAACUCUGUAACAGACCUCCCCCCCCCACCCUUGAGAAGUAAAGCCCCCUAGUAAAAAAAUCCUGGGUACAUCACUAUCACUCGUACAGUGACAGCUUGCUUGUAUCCAUCUAUUUUGGUUUCUCACUUCAACUCCAAAGGCCAAACAACAAGAAAAACAUAUUCAGUUACAUGUUUAUCUUAUCUUAUUGCAUACUUGAGUUUAUUCUUUACGUGUAUUUAUCGCAUCUGUCGGCCUUUCUCUAUCAGAUGGAUCAAGCCCCUUUCCAGUACAUAUCAAACCAUACAGUGAAACUGUAAUAAAGUAUAUAUUCUAUA